AAUGAACGUUGGCGGCGUGGAUUAGGCAUGCAAGUCGAGUGGGUUUAGGCCCACGGCGAAAGGGACAGUAACACGUGGAUACUUACCUUGGGGCUCGGGAUAACCGCGGGAAACUGCGGAUAAUACCGAAUAACGUCUUCGGACCAAAGAUUUAUCACCCUUAGAGAGGUCCGCGUCCUAUUAGCUAGUUGGUGAGGUAACGGCUCACCAAGGCGACAAUGGGUAGCGGGUGUGAGAGCACGACCCGCGUCACUGGGACUGAGAUACUGCCCAGACACCUACGGGUGGCUGCAGUCGAGAAUCUUCGGCAAUGGGCGAAAGCCUGACCGAGCGACGCCGCGUGCGGGAUGAAGGCCCUCGGGUUGUAAACCGCUGUGGAGAAGGAGUAAAACUGAACGAUUUCUCUAGAAAGCACAGGCUAAGUUCGUGCCAGCAGCCGCUGUAACAC
This 448-nucleotide ribosomal RNA is filed under the name uncultured bacterium. Its description in RNAcentral is "bacterial SSU rRNA". It matches the Rfam family "Bacterial small subunit ribosomal RNA", at positions 29 to 526 of the family's 1533-position model. The record is from RNAcentral.